RNAcentral lists this long non-coding RNA (4470 nucleotides) under Vigna radiata. Its description in RNAcentral is "long non-coding RNA (VRAD_LNC015038)". The record is from RNAcentral. Lineage: Eukaryota; Viridiplantae; Streptophyta; Magnoliopsida; Fabales; Fabaceae.
GGGGAGGUUGUUGACAACACAAAUGUUGACAAAUUGGCAAGUGUACCAAAUUGUACAAGUAAUAUAAAUGGUAAGACCAAGUAUCGUUUUCCCAAGAGACUCGUAUGGCUUCCUCGUUUGUGUGAAUUAAAAUAAUAAUACUUGAGAAAUAAAAAUUAAUAAAUUGGAUUUGAGAAUAAAAAGUUAACAUGCAAAAUAAAGUCGAUUCAAUUGACAAACAAAAACAAUGGAUGAAUGGAUGAUGUUGGGUACUAACAAUUUCAUCUAUUNCACUCUCUCUUACAUACUACCCUUGAAUAUUAGUUGAUUGAUUCAAUUGUUAUGCGACUUUCUUAGCCUCCCCUUAACCCGAUCCCUCGGCGAAAAGGGCCUAAUAUUAACUAUCGGCUUGCUAUCCCUAGCCUCCUCUAGUAAUUAAUACCACAUUAUAAACAGAAGUUAGCGCAAUUGAUCAUGCUACCCCUAUCCCUAGGUGGUAUUGCAAAAUCAAGAGAUUACUCACNNNNNNNNNNNNNNNNNNNNNNNNNNNNNNNNNNNNNNNNNNNNNNNNNNNNNNNNNNNNNNNNNNNNNNNNNNNNNNNNNNNNNNNNNNNNNNNNNNNNNNNNNNNNNNNNNNNNNNNNAUCAAAAGAUUACAUUGUUUUCCCCAACAACAAUAGUGUUUAGUUCACCAUAGACAUGGUGAAACUAGAUGAAAAAUGGAAGAAGAAUGGAAGAGCAAACCCUAGAAAAGGAGAAAAGGCGCCUAAGCAUCCAAGAGAUCCUCUCCAGAGAGCAAAAUUAGGUCUGGUCGUUCUCCCCUGUCAAAAGAAUGAUUCUGACUUCGCAAUAGGGGUAUAUAUAGGUGAAGAGCGCGUCAAAAAUUGGGCCCAAGUCCAGCGAGCCACCGCCGGGCGGUUUAAGUGUGUCGCCCGGCGGUUUGCCACAAAUCGCCCUACCGCCCGGCGGCAAUCGCCACCGUCGGGCGGUUUCCCUUAGGUCCGCCCCGCGUCAAUCGCCAUGCCUUCUCCUCGUCCUGGACCGCCCGGCAGUUUAAGUGUGCCGUCGGGCGGUGCGUCGACUCUUCGAAUCUUCAUUUUUCUGCUCUUUUCUUGAGUCAACGACUUGUAUCUUCAACUUCAUUCUCUACUUUUUCUCCAAUUAGCUUCAAAACAAUGCAAAACAAGCAUAAAAUUGCUAAAAACAGCUUUUGACUCUCUUCAGACUCAUUUAUUGAGUUUUGCUUGAUUCUAAGCUCAUUCCGAGUAGUAAAGGGUGUAAUUUGGUCCAAAUUGACAUAUGAAAAUAACUGUUUUUCAACCUUCAUCAACACCCCAAACUUAGAAUUUUGCUUGUCCUCAAGCAAAACAAAACAACACACAAAACAACUCAAUUCAAUAUUGUUUCAUCCAAUGCCUCAACAAUCCCAAGGUACAUGACAAAACCACUCAAUUCAAUAUCCUUAGUGAAAUUCAAAAUAAGAUGCAUGCAUGCUUUCAACCCAGAGAUUGCACAAUAGAUGUUAGACACUAUGAAUGAUCAAUCCACUAAGCAAAAAUGUACUCAUGAAAAUUAACAAAUUAUACCAAGCAAGUGUUUCACUCAAUCACUCAAGUGUUUAAGGUGACAUUCCAACUCUCAAUUAUUCACAAGUCGCAUGAAACAAAAUUGCCAUUCAUCUCAAACAAUCAACAUCUUUACAUGCAAAUGCCAUCAAAAGGACUUUUCCAAGGCUUGUAAUAAGGUUGGGCAAACAAGAAAGCAUUGGUUUUUCUAGAAUGCAAAAUCCUUGUGUCAAGAGAGCUAACAAAAUAUUCAACAUUUAAGCACAACUCUCUCACCAAUAUCUCUCAUUCCCAACUUCUUCCCUUUUCUUUUCUUUUUCAUUGAGCUCGUCUUCAUGCUUUUCUUCUUUUCUUUUCUUUUUCUCAUGAAUUUUUCUCUUUUCACAACAAUUGAGCUCAAUGCCUUUUUCUUGCUUUUUCAAUUUUCCCCCGUACAACCCCAAACUUCAACCUUUUCAUUGCAUACGAUUAAGUUCAUCCCAACUCAAGGUAAAGAUUUACAAGACAAGGAUUCACAUACUGUUUAAGGCUAAGGUUCAAAAAGGGUAAAAUAUUUUCAAGCACUUUGGGUGAAAAUUUGGCUAGAGAAGGGUUUUCAAAAAUGGCCUUGAUCAUAUGUCAAUUGAUUAUCAAGAUUAAGGCAAUAUCAUCCAUGUUUUCCUGUGAACAAUACAUACAACAAUAAAAACUCUGGAGCUCAAAAUCUCACACACAUGCUUUCUCACACAAAAUUCAUUCAUACACUUUGCCUAGCAUCAUGACCACAAUCAUAAUUCAUCACACAUCUAUUUCACAGCAUAUUAACAUGCAUUGUAACUCAAUUCUCAUCCACAUCAAAUAAUCAUCAAAUAGCUCCAUCAUGCAUAUCGGUCAGUCAAACAUUUUCAGAACAAGAAUUAAAGCCAAGAGUACACACCAAAUUUCAAAUUCAACCUAUUCUAGGAAUUUAAAAUGCAAAAGUGUAAGAAGAAAUCUAGGUUGCCUCCUAGUCAGUAAGUGCAAUACCUCCCAUCACCCAUCAGUAGGUGUGCCUUCUUGGAAUCCUUUAGUGGAUUCAAAAAUUUUCUAGCAUCCCUCAGUAGAUGCUAUCAUUACCGCCAUCAGAAGCAGUGCAUAACCCAAAAAUAAAAUAAAAUAAAAUAAAAAAUAAAAAUAAAAUAAAAUAAAAUAAAAUAAAGUGACAUAAAAUAAAAUCAAAUCAAAUAAGAUAAAAUCAAAUAAAAUAAAAUCAAAUCAAAUAAAAUCAAAUCAAAUCAAAUCAAAUGAAAUAAAAUAAAAUCAAAUAAAAUAUAAUCAAAUCACAUCAAAUAAAAUAAAAUCAAAUUAAAUCAAAUAAAAUCAAAUAAAAUAAAAUCAAAUAAAAUAAAAUCAAACACCCAUCAGUAGGGGUUGAUACUCCUCUUUCUUGAUAUUCUUUUCUUUUUCUUCUUCCUGCUGAAUUUCUUCAUAAAAUUAAGAACACCAAGCACCUGUUUCCAUGUUUCAAUCAUAGGAACUUUAAUCUCCANUUUCUUGAAGAUCUCCAUAAAGCUCAAAAAUUUAUUUUCCUUCCUAUGAUAUUUCUUUUUAUGAGGCAGGGGUUUUUCACAAGAUCUUUUCUUUUUACCUCUCUUCCUUUUCUUCUCUUUCCUCAACUUUCCUAUUUUCUCUUUUCUUUUUUUUUUCUUUUUUUUUGAAUAUUUUUUCUUUUUUUCUUUUUUCUUAACCACUGUUUUUUCUCCCUCAUCAUCUUUAUCUUCCUCAACCAACUCUUCUGUUUCUUCUUCUUUUAAAUCUCUCUCUAUCUCUUCUUCCUCUAUCUUUUCUUCCUUGACAACCUUAUCAUUUUUAGAGAUGGUGGCUUGAUAUUCUUCUUCAGGAUUAACUUCAGUGUUAUCCCUAAUAAUACCCAAAGCCUUCAGGGCAUGAGAGUGUUGUUCCUGCAAUAAACGUGCUUGUGCUUUUCCCAAUGUUUCUUUGUGUACAUGAGAUUGUUUUUGUUGUAAACAUUGUUGGGCUUCCCCCAACGUUUCUUUUGGUCCAAAGACUACGUACUGCCGCAAGAAUUUUUGGAUUUCCCCCAACGUUUCUUCUGGUACAGAGAAUAAUUCCUGCUGUAAACGUUCUUUGGCUUCUCCUAAUGUUUCUUUUCGUGAGGAGGACUGAUCCCCUAAGUGGUUCCGAUAUAUAUUUGAAUAAAGAUCCCCACAGUGGUUACAAUCAUUUUGGUAGAAUUGAGUGCCCAUAUUAUCAAGUUCUUCUUUAAACUGCAUUCUGCAAACGUUAGGCACAAAACCCUAGAAAACAUUUAUUAGAAAAAAAAUAAAAAAUAAACAUAAAAUCAAGUCAAAUUCAAUCAAUCCACACUAUUAGAAAAAUAAACCUCGAGUCCCCGACAACGGCGCCAAAAACUUGUUGACAAAUUGGCAAGUGUACCAAAUCGUUCAAGUAAUAUAAAUGGUAAGACCAAGUAUCGUUUUCCCAAGAGACUCGUAUGGCUUCCUCGUUCGCUUGAAUUAAAAUAAUAAAACUUGAGAAAUAAAAAUUAAUAAAUUGGAUUUUUGAACAAAAAUAUUAACAUGCAAAAUAAAGAUGAUUCAAUUGACAAACGAAAACAAUGGAUGAAUGGAUGUUGUUGGGUACUAACAAUUUCAUCUAUUCCAGUCUCUCUUACAUACUACCCUUGAAUAUUAGUUGAUUGAUUCAAUUGUUAUGCGACUUUCUUAGCCUCCCCUUAACCCGACCCCUCGGCGAAAAGGGCCUAAUAUUAACUACCGGCUUGCUAUCCCUAGCCUCCCCUAGUAAUUAAUACCGCAUUAUAAACAGAAGUUAGCGCAAAUGAUCGUCCUACCCCUAUCCCUAGGUGGUAUUGCACAAUCAAGAGAUUACUCACUAAUUCAUGUCAUUACUAUACGUCCCCAUAUCAAUAAAGACAAACAUCAAUAUAC